Molecule: long non-coding RNA, 888 nt
Filed under: Homo sapiens (human)
Lineage: Eukaryota; Metazoa; Chordata; Mammalia; Primates; Hominidae
Description: non-protein coding ZRANB2-AS2:47
Source: RNAcentral
GGAGCUGGAAAGGUGGAGGCGGAAGUGACUGAUCAAUUCAGGGGCGUGGGGUUCGUUUAGGUUUUGCCCUGUGUAUGACCUCGUUUGGAGCCAUGAAACCAGAGUUUCGCUCUUUUUGACCAAGCUGGAGUGCAAUGGCGUGAUCUCGGCUCGCUGCAAUCUCUGCCUUCCAGGUUCAAGUGAUUCUCCUGCCUCAGCCUUCUGAGUAGUUGGGAUUACAGGUGGCUUUUCUACAAUAUAAAGAUGGAAAUGGGAAGAAGAUGUUCAUUGCAAAUUAAGGAAGCUCUUCCACGAGUUCACGAAUGGAAAUAACAUCAAGAGUUUUUCAUCUUCUUAGUGUGCAAGGUAGUUCCAAAAUGUCUUAAAAGGAAGAGAUAAAGUUAAAUUAAAAGUACUGUAUUGGGUAAGUUAUUUGAUUGUUUGAUAAUCCAAUUAUUAAAGAAGAUUGAAUUCUUUUAACACCCUGGGAAAAAUGCUUGAGAGGAAAUGCUGGUAUAAGAGACCAGAAUGUGCCAGCCCCAAUUAUGCCUCUUUGGCAUAAGGACUAAUUUGAAUUGAUUAUUUUGAGAAACAGCAGACACAGGAGAAGCUCUGAAAACAAGAUUAGAAGUUAUACUUUCGUAAAUAAAACAUAAAUUUAUAAACAAAAUCUUCAUUUGUAAGGGUAUCUCCCUCCCUAUAUCAAGAAGAGAAGGAUGACUCUAAAUCACAGUGGAAUCUUCUCAAUGACGAGGACACUGACUUAACUCUGCAAAGCAAACCUUACCCUUGUCUACCACGCUUUUUCUGGUUGCCUCCUCAUAACUGGCCUCUCCCCCACCUGUCUUUCUUUUAUUUCAGCUGAAGAUAGCAGUGUUUAAGCCUGAAUUCUAAGCCACUUCUUUGAAA